CUGCCUUGGAGUGGGGAAUAACGGCUGGAAACAGCCGCUAAUACCGCAUGAUGCAUCUGAGUCGCAUGGUUUGGAUGCCAAAGAUUUAUCGCUCUGAGAUGAGCUCGCGUCUGAUUAGCUAGUUGGCGGGGUAACGGCCCACCAAGGCGACGAUCAGUAGCCGGACUGAGAGGUUGGCCGGCCACAUUGGGACUGAGACACGGCCCAGACUCCUACGGAAGGCAGCAG
RNAcentral lists this ribosomal RNA (228 nucleotides) under uncultured bacterium. RNAcentral describes it as "partial 16S ribosomal RNA". It matches the Rfam family "Bacterial small subunit ribosomal RNA", at positions 126 to 354 of the family's 1533-position model. The record is from RNAcentral.